UUGAUUUAUUUAAUAAUCACUCAGAGAUUCAGUAAAAACAGAGUUUGGUUUGUCCGCCGGCGGGCUCGGGGGGCUGGGCCCCCUCCGCCUCGCCGAGGCAACGGUAUGAUAAGUUCACAUGGGUUUGGGAGUUGUUUAAGACUCUAUAAUGAUCCCUCCGCUGGUUCACCAACGGAGA
This 178-nucleotide unclassified non-coding RNA is filed under the name uncultured fungus. Its description in RNAcentral is "sequence contains ITS1". Lineage: Eukaryota; Fungi. The record is from RNAcentral.